AUGGCUGUCGUCAGCUCGUGCCGUGAGGUGUUGGGUUAAGUCCCGCAACGAGCGCAACCCCUAUCAUUAGUUGCCAACAGGUUAUGCUGGGGACUCUAAUGAGACUGCCCGCGUAAGCGGUGAGGAAGGUGGGGAUGACGUCAAGUCAUCACGGCCCUUACGUCCUGGGCUACACACGUGCUACAAUGGCCGGUACAGAGGGCAGCUACUUCGUAAGAAGAUGCUAAUCCUUAAAGCCGGUCUCAGUUCGGAUUGAGGUCUGCAACUCGACCUCAUGAAGCUGGAUUCGCUAGUAAUCGCAUAUCAGCCAUGAUGCGGUGAAUACGUUCCCGGGCCUUGUACACACCGCCCGUCAAGCCAUGGAAGUUGGGGGUACCUGAAGUCGAUCACCGCAAGGAGUCGCCUAGGGUAAAACCAAUGACUGGGGCUAAGUCGUAACAAGGUAGCCGUACCGGAAGGUGUGGCUGGAACACCUCCUUUCUGGAGUGAUUAUUACUAUCGCUUGUUAUUUCCUUUCAUUUUCUUCGUUUAAAAAAUUAUCCCAAAACGAGCAAGUGGUCUUCUCUAUGCUAAGAGUUCAGACGGGAAUAGUUGGUCACGGCAAUCAAUGGUAAUUAACUGCCAACUGCCAACUGCCAACUGUCUACUACUAAAAAUAGUCCCGUAGCUCAGCUUGGUUAGAGCACUACACUGAUAAUGUAGGGGUCAGCAGUUCAAAUCUGCUCGGGACUACUACUUGGAAUUAAAAAUUAAUAAUUCAGAAUUAAAUUUUUAAUUCUUAAUUUUUAAUUCUGAAUUCUGGUUUUGGGGGAUUAGCUCAGCUGGCUAGAGCGCCUGCUUUGCAAGCAGGAGGUCAUCGGUUCGACUCCGAUAUUCUCCACAAAAUUGAUUAGCUGAUUUGAUAAUUUGAUGAUUGGCUAAUGUUACCGUUCUUUAAAAUUGAAUUAAUGCUUUGGAAGUGAUCAGGAUUUUUCUCCUGAUCAAUUGGUUCGAUUCCAAUUUGAUUCACGAAUUGAUUUUGAUUUGCUUAUGAUAAUUACCAAAUUAUCAAAUCAUCAAAUCGAUUACGUUCUUUGACAUAUUGAAAGAAAACAUAAUAAACAUUAAAAGAAUUUAUCGUUAAGAUAAGAAAGUUAAUUAAGGGCGCAUGGUGAAUGCCUUGGCUCUCAUAGGCGAUGAAGGACGUGAUAAGCUGCGAAAAGCUUCGGGGAGGUGCAAACAACCUUUGAUCCGGAGAUAUCCGAAUGGGGAAACCCGG
Molecule: small RNA, 1258 nt
Filed under: uncultured Sphingobacteriales bacterium
Lineage: Bacteria; Pseudomonadati; Bacteroidota; Sphingobacteriia; Sphingobacteriales
Description: bacterial SSU rRNA
Rfam family: Bacterial small subunit ribosomal RNA (bases 1-480)
Source: RNAcentral